AGUGAACGCUGGCGGCAGGCCUAACACAUGCAAGUCGAGCGGAUGAAGGGAGCUUGCUCCUGGAUUCAGCGGCGGACGGGUGAGUAAUGCCUAGGAAUCUGCCUGGUAGUGGGGGAUAACGUCCGGAAACGGGCGCUAAUACCGCAUACGUCCUGAGGGAGAAAGUGGGGGAUCUUCGGACCUCACGCUAUCAGAUGAGCCUAGGUCGGAUUAGCUAGUUGGUGGGGUAAAGGCCUACCAAGGCGACGAUCCGUAACUGGUCUGAGAGGAUGAUCAGUCACACUGGAACUGAGACACGGUCCAGACUCCUACGGGAGGCAGCAGUGGGGAAUAUUGGACAAAGGGCGAAAGCCUGAUCCAGCCAUGCCGCGUGUGUGAAGAAGGUCUUCGGAUUGUAAAGCACUUUAAGUUGGGAGGAAGGGCAGUAAGUUAAUACCUUGCUGUUUUGACGUUACCAACAGAAUAAGCACCGGCUAACUUCGUG
Molecule: ribosomal RNA, 484 nt
Filed under: uncultured bacterium
Lineage: Bacteria
Description: partial 16S ribosomal RNA
Rfam family: Bacterial small subunit ribosomal RNA
Source: RNAcentral